Molecule: ribosomal RNA, 253 nt
Filed under: uncultured bacterium
Lineage: Bacteria
Description: partial 16S ribosomal RNA
Rfam family: Bacterial small subunit ribosomal RNA
Source: RNAcentral
UACGGGGGGGGCAAGCGUUGUUCGGAAUUACUGGGCGUAAAGGGCUCGUAGGCGGCCAACUAAGUCAGACGUGAAAUCCCUCGGCUUAACCGGGGAACUGCGUCUGAUACUGGAUGGCUUGAGGUUGGGAGAGGGAUGCGGAAUUCCAGGUGUAGCAGUGAAAUGCGUAGAUAUGUGGAGGAACACCGAUGGCGAAGGCAGCCCCCUGGGUCAAGACUGACGCUCAUGCACGAAAGCGUGGGGAGCAAACAGG